AGAGUUUGAUCCUGGCUCAGAACGAACGCUGGCGGCGUGGAUAAGACAUGCAAGUCGAGCGAGAUUUUUUCUUGUAGCAAUACAGGGAAAAGUCUAGCGGCGAACGGGUGCUUAACACGUGGGCAACCUGCCGUGAAGUGGGGGAUAGCUCGCCGAAAGGCGAAUUAAUACCGCAUGUGAUUAGAGAGGACAUCCUUUCGAAAUUAAAGUCGGGGCAACCUGACGCUUCUUGUGGGGCCCGCGGCCUAUCAGCUAGUUGGUGAGGUAACGGCUCACCAAGGCUUUGACGGGUAGCUGGUCUGAGAGGACGACCAGCCACACUGGGACUGAGACACGGCCCAGACACCUACGGGUGGCAGCAGUCGAGAAUUUUUGACAAUGGGGGAAACCCUGAUCGAGCGACGCCGCGUGGAGGAUGAAGGUCUUCGGAUUGUAAACUCCUGUCAUUGGGGAACAAGGUGCAUACGUUAACUGCGUGUGCAUUGAUAGUACCCGAAGAGGAAGAGACGGCUAACUCUGUGCCAGCAGCCGCGGUAAUACAGAGGUCUCAAGCGUUGUUCGGAUUCAUUGGGCGUAAAGGGUGCGUAGGCGGCGCGGUAAGUCGGGUGUGAAAUCUCGGAGCUUAACUCCGAAACUGCAUUCGAUACUGCCGUGCUUGAGGACUGGAGAGGAGACUGGAAUUUACGGUGUAGCGGUGAAAUGCGUAGAUAUCGUAAGGAAGACCAGUGGCGAAGGCGGGUCUCUGGACAGUUCCUGACGCUGAGGCACGAAGGUCAGGGGAGCAAACGGGAUUAGAUACCCCGGUAGUCC
Molecule: ribosomal RNA, 810 nt
Filed under: uncultured bacterium
Lineage: Bacteria
Description: bacterial SSU rRNA
Rfam family: Bacterial small subunit ribosomal RNA
Source: RNAcentral